Molecule: ribosomal RNA, 422 nt
Filed under: uncultured bacterium
Lineage: Bacteria
Description: bacterial SSU rRNA
Rfam family: Bacterial small subunit ribosomal RNA
Source: RNAcentral
GAAUAUUGGACAAUGGGGGCAACCCUGAUCCAGCGAUGCCGCGUGAGUGAAGAAGGCCUUCGGGUCGUAAAGCUCUUUAGGUUGGGAAGAAGGUUAUGGGGUGAAUAGCCCUGUAAUUUGACGGUACCGACAGAAUAAGCACCGGCAAACUCUGUGCCAGCAGCCGCGGUAAUACAGAGGGUGCAAGCGUUAAUCGGAAUUACUGGGCGUAAAGGGCGCGUAGGCGGUGAGAUGUGUGUGAUGUGAAAGCCCUGGGCUUAACCUAGGAAGUGCAUCGCAAACUGUCUUGCUGGAGUAUAUGAGAGGGUGGCGGAAUUUCCGGUGUAGCGGUGAAAUGCGUAGAGAUCGGAAGGAACGUCGAUGGCGAAGGCAGCCACCUGGCAUAAUACUGACGCUGAGGCGCGAAAGCGUGGGGAGCGAAC